UUUCGUAGGUGAACCUGCGGAAGAUCAUUAAAAAUAUCGCUCGAUGAGAGUGAUUUAAUAAUCAUCCUACCCUUUGUGAAUUUGUUGUUUGUAAUAAUUUUUUUGAUUUUAAAAAAAAUUAUUUAUGGUUUUGUCUAUCCCUAAAAUUGGUUGUUGUGAAAUGAAUCAAAUUUAGGAAUAGGCUUUCAUAAAUAAGUUUUUUUAAAGUCUUAAAGACCUUUUUAAAAUCAAACUUUGUAUUCAUUUGUCUAAAUUUUUUUAAAUAAUUUAAAAACAACUUUGACAAUGGAUCUCUUGUUCUCGCAACGAUGAAGAACGCAGCAAAAUGCGAUAAGUAAUGUGAUUGCAGAAUACGUGAAUCAUCAAUCUUCGAACGCAUAUUGCACUUUUUUAGUUACUAAAAAAGUAUGUCUGUUUGAGUAUCAGUAAAAUUUCUCAUAAAAACAUUUUUGUUUUUAUGGUUAUGAGUGUUUUACAACGAUAAACAAGUUGUUUCACUUUAAAUUCAUUUAAUUUAAGACCAUUUUGGUUUUAAUAAAAAUUGGAUAAAUUUUCCCGUAAAAAGGAAUAAACUUUUCAGUUUUUUAUUAUUACCAACAAACGGUCCGAUUUAAAAGGAAAUUUAUUUAAAUAACUUGAUCUCAAAUCAGAUAAGAUACCCGCUGAACUUAAGCAUAUCAAUAAGCGGAGGAAAGAACUACAAGGAUUCCUUAGUAACGGCGAGUAAGCGGAAGAGCUCAAUUUGAAAUCUUCAAGGUUCUACCUUGACGAAUUGUAGUUUAAAGAAGUGUUUUCUGUUAGAUGAGUAGCAAAAGUUCCUUGGAAUGGGACAUCAUAGAGGUGAGAAUCCCGUAUUUGGUUAUUCAUUCUAGCUUUGUGAUACACUUUCAAGAGUCGGAUUGUUGGGAAUGCAGUCCAAAUGGGUGGUAAAUUUCAUCUAAAGCUAAAUAUUGGCGAGAGACCGAUAGCGACAAGUACCGUGAGGGAAAGAUGAAAGAACUUUGAAAAGAGAGUUAAACAGUACGUGAAAUUGUCAAAAGGGAAGCGUUUGACACAGUGUUGUUUUCCGAAAAUCAAUACGAAUGGCUUGAUUUUGUGUUGUAUUGACCUUAUCAGCUUUCUUCACUUUUUCGAGUCUUCUUAAUGCACUUUUCGGUUAACAAGUCAACAUCAAUUCUUUUGUUGUAAAAGAGUAUUCGGAAGGUGGCUUUCUUUUCGGAGAAAGUGUUUAUAGCCCUAUACUUUACAAUCGGAGAGAUUGAGGUCUGCAGCGUAGAUCCUUCGGGUUAGAUACAUUUGUGCUAAGUUGUAGCUUUUCAUAGACAACUUGUUGACUAUGUUUAGUCAUGCGGCUUACUCGCUUAUGCUAUUUUACCUACGCUUAGGAUGUUG
Molecule: unclassified non-coding RNA, 1392 nt
Filed under: uncultured Neocallimastigales
Lineage: Eukaryota; Fungi; Neocallimastigomycota; Neocallimastigomycetes; Neocallimastigales
Description: partial contains internal transcribed spacer 1, 5.8S ribosomal RNA, internal transcribed spacer 2, and large subunit ribosomal RNA
Rfam family: Eukaryotic large subunit ribosomal RNA (bases 637-1392)
Source: RNAcentral